UACGUAGGUGGCAAGCGUUGUCCGGAAUUAUUGGGCGUAAAGCGCGUGCAGGCGGCCUUUUAAGUGUGAUGUGAAAUCCCGGGGCUCAACCCCGAGCGGCCAUUGGAAACUGGGAGACUUGAGUACAGAAGAGGGGAGUGGAAUUCCAGGUGUAGCGGUGAAAUGCGUAGAUAUGUGGAGGAACACCAGUGGCGAAGGCGACUUUCUGGUCUGUAACUGACGCUGAGGCGCGAAAGCGUGGGGAGCAAACAGG
RNAcentral lists this unclassified non-coding RNA (253 nucleotides) under uncultured Bacillaceae bacterium. Its description in RNAcentral is "contains 16S-23S intergenic spacer region". It matches the Rfam family "Bacterial small subunit ribosomal RNA", at positions 524 to 776 of the family's 1533-position model. Lineage: Bacteria; Bacillati; Bacillota; Bacilli; Caryophanales; Bacillaceae. The record is from RNAcentral.